Long non-coding RNA from Dermochelys coriacea (leatherback sea turtle), 1215 nucleotides. RefSeq lists it as uncharacterized. Lineage: Eukaryota; Metazoa; Chordata; Testudines; Dermochelyidae. The transcript has 2 exons. The record is from RefSeq and is a predicted model, not a curated record.
GGAGCUGAAUAAACAAGGCUCUGCCACCAGUUUCUGCUGCUUAAGCUUUUCCCUUGUUCUCUAACAUGCUGGGAACUAUCUGGAUUAUGGCUCUGCCCAGUGGGGGCAGGGGGCAGACGUCCAUGUGCCCAUCUCCAUUGGCACUGCUCGGAGCUGUAAGGCCCAUUUCCCUGACUGACUGGCGAUGCCCCGUCCCUGGUAUACCCACAAGGGCCUGGCUGACAACGUUCUCGGAGAUUCGAGGAAAGUGUAAUUCUCAGAAAGUCUGGAAGGUUCCAUGAUAUUCUACAAAGGUCCAGAACGUUCUAGGAGAUUCAUGGAAAAAUGAAUCCACACCCGGAAUACCAGGAACAUUUUACUUCAAACAUUCUAUUUUCUCUUUUGUGGCUAACAACCCAAACAGCAGCCUGAGCCCGGGGUCCCCCAAGCCCGGCACCCCAGGUGGUUGCCUGCCCCUAAAUCCGGCCCUGGUGAUGCUGGGCUCCCCCCUCCCCUGGCAGCAUCGACUAAGCUGUUGCUUUCCAGCAGGAUGGCCACCUGCAGCUGGGGGUUCGGAUGGAACAAGUCGGAUCACAAAUUCAGUUUCCAGGUGGGAAGUGGUCGGAGACUCGCCCAAUCACUGAGCUGAGCCCAGUGGGCAAAAUUUCCCUUUAAGCACGAAUCUUGUCACGGGCAAUCUCUUCCUGGGAGAGGCUGCUAGCACCUAAAACAAAGCCAUGUGCAACUGCUAACCGUGAAAGGGAUGCAGCCCAGCUAGGCUAGAGGUGGCACUUGGAAGUGUGCAAAUGUGAGCUGGAGAGAAAUGUUUUCAUGAUUUGUUUACCUGUCGGUGAAAACAGGCCAAUAUCCAAGCUACCUUCUGAGGCGGCAGUAGCCCAGACCCAAAAGCAGUGCUGGGCUGGUGCAUGGGAAGGGGAAACUGGCCAGCCUGGCAGAGUGAUGUUCUCCCAGUCACGCAGCAUUGCUGGGGAAAGGCAACAGAACGUUAGCGUUCUUUCUGUUCCAAUAAUCCAAGGGGUAUCUAACAAUGGGAAGGAACGUGCUGUGUGUCCCAUUAAAGCCUGCCGCUUGAAAGCCAGACUAUAGCCUGAAAUGCCAGCUGGUGCUCAAACAGCCUCUGAUCAUAGUGUGAGACAGAGGAAACAGGAUAAUGAGGAGCGAAUUUUCAUAUUUCAAAUGUUACUAAAAACAUGUCCUAAUGGAAAAUGAAACCUC